CCUACGGGAGGCAGCAGUGGGGAAUAUUGGUCAAUGGGCGAAACCCUGAUCCAGCGAAGCCGCGUGAAGGAAGAAGUAUCUCGGUAUGUUAACCUCCUUUAGCCGGGAAGAAAAUGACGGUACCUGACUAAGAAGCCCUGGCUAACUACGUGCCAGCAGCCGCGGUAAUACGUAGGGGGCAAGCGUUAUCCGGAUUUACUGGGUGUAAAGGGAGCGUAGGUGGUGCAGUAAGUCAGAAGUGAAAGCCCGGGGCUCAACUCCGGGACUGCUUUUGAAACUGGGGGCCUGGAUUGAAGGAGAGGUAGGUGGAAUUCCUGGUGUAGCGGUGAAAUGCGUAGAUAUUAGGAAGAACACCAGUGGCGAAGGCAGCUUACUGGACUGUAAAUGACGCUGAGGCUCGAAAGCGUGGGGAGCAAACAGGAUUAGAUACCCGAGUAGUC
This 440-nucleotide ribosomal RNA is filed under the name uncultured bacterium. RNAcentral describes it as "partial 16S ribosomal RNA". It matches the Rfam family "Bacterial small subunit ribosomal RNA", at positions 338 to 795 of the family's 1533-position model. The record is from RNAcentral.